CCCACCAAAUAAAUAAACAAAACAAUAAAAGACAACACCUACCAACUAAGAAAUAUCAAAAAACAAAAUUAGGAAAGUGGAAGUUGAAGAGUACUUGCAGGUGCAGCGCCUCUUCCUCGAUACAUCAUCAAAUCGGAGCUGAAACUCGACUUCAAUUCGGCGUAAUUGUAUACCCUUGAAAACCUUUGUUUUCUCCUCGUAGAUUUCAUGUGGAUCCAAGCUCGUGUAGGUUCUGUGGUAAGAGUAUUGUUGCUAAUCCAUCCAUUUAACCUCAGGUUGUGUAUGGAUUUCUGGGAUUUGCACUAUUGUACAGGUUGUGCAAAGUAUUCUGGACUUGAGCAACUUGUCAGGAUAGUUCUGAAUUUUUGGAGGCAACAAUGUAUUUACUAAGAAGACUUUGAUAUUAGCGACAAAUAUAUUGAUUCGAGGGCUGUGCCGUACACCGUGACAGAAGCAUGGACAUAUAUGUCCCUCAUGAAUUUUGAACUGAGAGACAACGGGUGUGUAUCACUAGGUCAGACAUGCAUCACUAUACUUGACAUUGCAUAUCUAUAACCUUUGUGAACUUGUGAGUGCAUUUAUAUGGAACUUGUGAUUGAUGGACUUGAUAUAUCCUGUGUACCAUUAAUAUGUGGUUGAUGGAGUACUGUUGUUAUUGUGUCAUGUGCUAUUUAAAUUGUGAACUGUUAGGUUGAACUAAUUUUAUGCAGAUUUUAGUUGCGCAGGUUCAGUUGGAUUGGUAGGAGUACUCAUAUCCUAUAUAGACAACAACAAAUUCGAUUAUCAGGGACAAAUAAUUUCGUCACUAAAAUUCUUGUGAGACGAAAAAUAAUUCGUCAAUUAGUCGUCACUAAAUGUGUGUCGCUAAAAGUAUACUAAAACGAUUUAGUGCUUCGUCGCUAAAAGUAUUAU
Solanum stenotomum is the source of this 912-nucleotide long non-coding RNA. RefSeq lists it as uncharacterized. NCBI's taxonomy places the organism in Eukaryota, Viridiplantae, Streptophyta, Magnoliopsida, Solanales, Solanaceae. The record is from RefSeq and is a predicted model, not a curated record. The transcript is spliced from 4 exons.